This 414-nucleotide ribosomal RNA is filed under the name uncultured bacterium. RNAcentral's name for it is "bacterial SSU rRNA". It matches the Rfam family "Bacterial small subunit ribosomal RNA", at positions 355 to 786 of the family's 1533-position model. The record is from RNAcentral.
UGGGGAAUCUUGCACAAUGGGCGAAAGCCUGAUGCAGCAACGCCGCGUGAGCGAAGAAGGCCUUUGGGUCGUAAAGCUCUGUCCUAAGGGAAGAAGGAAGUGACGGUACCUUAGGAGGAAGCCCCGGCUAACUACGUGCCAGCAGCCGCGGUAAUACGUAGGGGCAAGCGUUAUCCGGAAUUAUUGGGCGUAAAGAGUACGUAGGCGGUUCUUAAGCGCAGGGUAUAAGGCUAAGGCUUAACCAUAGUUCGCCCUGUGAACUGGAGGACUUGAGUAUCGGAGAGGAAAGCGGAAUUCCUAGUGUAGCGGUGAAAUGCGUAGAUAUUAGGAGGAACACCAGUGGCGAAGGCGGCUUUCUGGACGAAAACUGACGCUGAGGUACGAAAGCGUGGGGAGCAAACAGGAUUAGAUACC